RNAcentral lists this ribosomal RNA (301 nucleotides) under uncultured bacterium. Its description in RNAcentral is "partial 16S ribosomal RNA". It matches the Rfam family "Bacterial small subunit ribosomal RNA", at positions 509 to 807 of the family's 1533-position model. The record is from RNAcentral.
CGGUAGCCACGGUAAUACGGAGGGAGCUAGCGUUGUUCGGAAUUACUGGGCGUAAAGCGCGCGUAGGCGGUUACUCAAGUCAGAGGUGAAAGCCCGGGGCUCAACCCCGGAACUGCCUUUGAAACUAGGUGACUAGAAUCUUGGAGAGGUCAGUGGAAUUCCGAGUGUAGAGGUGAAAUUCGUAGAUAUUCGGAAGAACACCAGUGGCGAAGGCGACUGACUGGACAAGUAUUGACGCUGAGGUGCGAAAGCGUGGGGAGCAAACAGGAUUAGAUACCCGCGUAGUCCCUGUCUCUUAUAC